RNAcentral lists this ribosomal RNA (406 nucleotides) under uncultured bacterium. RNAcentral describes it as "partial 16S ribosomal RNA". It matches the Rfam family "Bacterial small subunit ribosomal RNA", at positions 30 to 526 of the family's 1533-position model. The record is from RNAcentral.
AUUGAACGCUGGCGGCAGGCCUAACACAUGCAAGUCGAACGGGUGGCGGACGGGUGAGUAAUGUCUGGGAAACUGCCUGAUGGAGGGGUAUAACUACUGGAAACGGUAGCUACUACCGCCUACCAUCCGAUUUGCCCAGAUGGGAUUAGCUAGUAGGUGGGGUAAUGGCUCACCUAGGCGACGCUCCCUAGCUGGUCUGAGAGGAUGACCAGCCACACUGGAACUGAGACACGGUCCAGACUCCUACGGGAGGCAGCAGUGGGGAAUAUUGCACAAUGGGCGCAAGCCUGAUGCAGCCAUGCCGCGUGUGUGAAGAAGGCCUUCGGGUUGUAAAGCACUUUCAGCGAGGAGGCGUUACUCACAGAAGAAGCACCGGCUAACUCCGUGCCAGCAGCCGCGGUAAUUC